Molecule: ribosomal RNA, 440 nt
Filed under: uncultured bacterium
Lineage: Bacteria
Description: partial 16S ribosomal RNA
Rfam family: Bacterial small subunit ribosomal RNA
Source: RNAcentral
CCUACGGGUGGCAGCAGUAGGGAAUAUUGCUCAAUGGGGGAAACCCUGAAGCAGCAACGCCGCGUGGAGGAUGAAGGUUUUCGGAUUGUAAACUCCCUUUGUUAGAGAAGAUAAUGACGGUAUCUAACGAAUAAGCACCGGCCAACUCCGUGCAAGCAGCCGCGGUAAUACGGAGGGUGCAAGCGUUACUCGGAAUCACCGGGCGUAAAGAGGGCGUAGGCGGGAUAGCAAGUCAGAUGUGAAAUCCUAUGGCUUAACCAUAGAACUGCAUUUGAAACUGUUAUUCUAGAGUAUGGGAGAGGUAGGUGGAAUUCUUGGUGUAGGGGUAAAAUCCGUAGAGAUCAAGAGGAAUACUCAUUGCGAAGGCGACCUGCUAGAACAUAACUGACGCUGAUGCGCGAAAGCGUGGGGAGCAAACAGGAUUAGAUACCCGGGUAGUC